GGGGGGUGCAGGUGAGCGUAUUUGGUAAAAAAUAAAAACGCAUUCUUUCAGCUCAAUUAGAGCUAAUAGUUUAAGCAGAAACAACUAUCAAGAAGUUGAGUCUACUACGAAAUGUCAAGUGUUUUUUGAAAAAAAAAAAGAAGAAGAAGAAAGAAAAACACAAAUCAUGGAGUCAAAGUCAACUACAAAAAAUGCAAUUCUAACAGAUGAGCAACGAUGUUUGAAAAUCUUGCAAGCGUAGAACAUGAUGCAGGGGUCCACACAUUACACGUACCAGCUAUGAGCCCUGUUCGGCUACUGCCGCAUCCAUCGGGAUCCUGGCACGUUACAUCUGCCCAUAGAAAUCAAGCAUCAAAACUAGUCUUAGUGCGAAUAUUACCCCAUAAACAAAAAAAGUCAUAAAAAAAAAAAAAAAGAUAGUUCUGUAGGAAUGGCAAGUAAGGAGAACGCAAGUGAAAAUCUGCUUGAACCCGUAACUGGCAUACUGGGGAUUAUGUUAAACUUCGAAUUACGUAUUUCUACAACAACAAUAAUAUGCUAAUUUUUCCACAAAAGAAAGUUCGACAUUAUUAUGACUCGAAUUUAAGAUGAUUUCAUACUAGUAAACUAAAAUACUCCAAGUUUCCUGCAGAGGAGAAACAAGAAGUCGACUUUCUUUCUUACCCUUGGAACAUAAUCCAGCGAUCGCAUCCCAGUGCAAGCCGGAGUUACAGAAGCACCUCCGGACCCCGCUGUUCGAAUUUGGGUCGGGUCCACAGGUGGAUUCCGAGUCACAAUCCGUUUGGUUCCGGCAAAUGGGUUCACUAGGCGAAACCCACUGCAACUCCAGGCCAGGCUGCGGCCACCUGCUCACGGGCAACGAGUAAUCCAAGUUGACAAAAGCCCGGUACGCCCGGCAACCCGCAUCCCUCACCCGAAUGAAUAAGAAGUCGACGACCCGCCCGCCCUGAACGUGCAGCAUAUCUCCGAAUUCUCACAAGCUCCGCCAUCGCUGACAUUCCUGGUCCCGUUGAUAAACGUAUGACAGAGGCUGCUUGAGGUACAAUCCAAAGGAGAGCUCAACAGAGUCUGGGUACAAUUGAGGUACAAGAUGGUGUUGCUGCUGGUGAUGUUGAAAGGCAAGGAAGAGUUGAGCUGGACGCCUUGGGUGGAAAUAUCAGCUGUGAUGCAGGUGCUGGGGAGGAAGGGGGAGGGUUGAAUGGUGAGACGCUGGAGUUGAGGGGAAACGGAGGUGACUGGGUAGGUGUUGUUUAGGGUGUCGAAUAAAAGUGAGCCGGCGCUGCAGCGGAGCUUGUAGAGCUGGUCGCCGCAGGUGGGCCCGGUGCUUAGUGGGUAGGGAACCGGCGUGGCGCCGCAGUCCGGGCAACGCUGAGCGGAGAGUGCAGGCUUGGAGAAUGUUACCAGAAGCAAGGUGCAGGUGGCCAGGAGGAAAUGGAAAUGGUGGCGAGGGGCUGAAGAGAUCGCCAUUGAAAGAGAGGCAAGGGAAGGCGAGAUGAAGGGGUUGGGCAGGGAGGCGACGGUUGGGUAACUUAAAGGCAGUUCCGGAGGUUUAAGAAUUAUUAAUAAAUAAAGGCUUUCGUCAAAGAGUUGAAGUCGGAAUGGCUGCUGAUUAUUUCUGAGAGGACGAAUCAGGUCAGGGCUGGCAGAAGCUUAGAAGAUAUGUAUGAGGGAGACAGGUAGACAGGUAGUGGACUACAAGGACAGCAUCAUUAAUUUUCGCACGUAUUUUGACAUUUUUGCAGCUCGGCUUGGUGGAUCACAAUAUGAAUAUGAAUAAGUAAGUUGAAAAUGCGAGACAUCCUAACCUUGAUAAUGACGACUGCAAAAUUGACUAGUUUGAAAGCUGGCAAGGUUGCAGCACUUUUAUCACCCCAUUAUCGUCUAAGACUUGCGUUGCUCACUGCUGGCGCUGGGUUAAGAGAUGGUCGUGUGGAUGGAAAAAAUAACUUGUGACUUUGCAACAGCCACUUAAAAGAAGAAGAAGAAGAUUAUAAUCGGCUCAAAGUUAAUCGGCAAACAUCCGGCAGUCUUACAACCCCCCCUAACAAUUUGUACGCUCUUAACAAACAACAUGUAUCUUAAAAUAUACGAGGGGUUCGUUUGGAUUCCUUGUUUUUUGGUCUGUUUUUGAAAAAUUAUUUUUCACAUUCCAAAUGCUACAGUAAAUGUGUAUUUCAAAAAUAAUUCCAAAAAAUAUCAUAUCAAACCAAUAUAUCAAAAACAACUCCAAAUACAUAUUUAAUAUGUUUAUUUCAAUUUGUAUAUUUCAAUUAUGUAUAGGAUAUAUAUAUUAUAUUAAUUUAAAUAUAUUUAUUUAUACAUAUUAUAAAUAUUUUAUUUUAUAUAAAAAUAUUUUUAUAUUUUUAUAUAAAUAUUAUAUAUUAUAUAUUUAAUAUAUACAUAAUAUAUAUUUUAUAUAUUAUAUAUACUAUACAUUUAUACAUCAUAUAUAUUUAUGUAUAUUUUUAAUAUACAUUUAUAUUAUGUAUUAUAUAUAAUAUAAAACAUUUAUAAUACAUUUAUGUAAUUAUACAUUUAUAUAAAUAUUAUAUAUUAUAUAUUUAAUAUAUACAUAAUAUAUAUUAUAUAUAUUAUACAUUUAUAUAAAUGUACAUUUAUAUAUAAUAUACAUAUUGAUGUAUAUUUAUAAUAUACAUUUAUAUUAUGUAUUAUAUAUAAUAUAAUACAUUUAUAAUACAUUCAUACAUUUAUAUUAAUAUACACAAUAUUAAUUAUAUAUUUAUACAUAAUAUUAAUACAUUUAUACAUUUAUAUUUAUUAUAUUAAUACAUUUAUACAUAAUAUUAAUUUAUAUUUAUAAUAUAUUAAUUGAUACAUUUAUAUUAUAUUCAUUUAUAAUUUAUACACAUUUAUAAUAAUAUACAUUUAUACAUUUAUAAAUAUAUUUAUAUUAUGUGUUAUAUAUAAUAUAAUACAUUUAUAUAAAUAUAUUUAUAAAUAUAUAAAUAUAUUUAUUUAUAAAUAUUUAUAAAUGUAUUAUAAAUGCAUAAAUGUAUAUAAAUAUAAAAAUUAUAAAUUAGUAUAAUAUUCAUUUAUAAUUUAUACAUUUAUACAUUUCUAAAUAUAUUUAUAUUAUGUAUUAUAUAUAAUAUAAUACAUUUAUAUAUUUUUAUAUAAAUAUAUUGAUUUAUAAAUAUUUAUAAACGUAAUAUAAAUGCAUAAAUGCAUAAAUAUAAAAAUUUAUAAUUUAUAAUUUAUAAUUAAUACAUUUAUAUAAUAUUCAUUUAUAAUUUAUACAUUUAUAAUAAUAUACAUUUAUACAUUUAUAAAUAUAUUUAUAUUAUGUAUUAUAUAUAAUAUAAUACAUUUAUAUAUUUUUAUAUAAAUAUAUAAAUAUAUUUAUUUAUAAAUGUGUUAUAAAUGUAUAAAUGUAUGUUGUUAUAAAAAUAUAAAAAUUAUAAAUUAUAAAAAUAAUCAAAAAUAUGUUUUAAAAAUACAUCUAAAAAUAAUCCAUAAAACAUAUACAGUAAAAGUUUUUGAUAUAGUUUUUGAAAAAUAACUCCAAAAAUAACUAAUCCAAACGAACUUGUAUUUGAAAAACGAAAUGCUACAGUGUUGUUUUUGAAAAACAACCCCAAAAAUAGCUAAUCCAAACGGAUUUAUGGGGUUUAAAUUUUACUUCAUUCGUUGGCGUAAUAUAUCACAAUGUAGUAUAAGAAUCAAUUAAAAACAAAAAGAAAAAAUCUUCAAAUUUCAAUUAGGAAUUCGUUGGCCUCUUUAGAUCCGUCCCUUCAAUUGCGAUUUUUUUUUCAUUUUCUCAUUUAUUAACUCAUAAUAAGAUCUUGAUAACUAUUUGAAACUUAACAAUUUAAAUGAGACCUUUCAAGUAAUUAAAUAUUAUUAAAUGGAUGAAAAUGGGAAAAUAUAUAAUCUUGAUCCAUGUAAUAACUUUAUUUUGAAUCCAUUGAAUUUGAUUUCAUAUUUUUCCCAUCACAAUUAUUGUAAAGAGACAUCUACAAUAAUAAGUUUUGGACAGUUUAUUUGUAAAAAAAUGUGUAUAGCUAAAAUAGAUCGCAUCUAAAAUCAAAAUCAGCGCAAGUUAUAUUUGCUCAAGUUGAUUCUGUCGCAAUGUGAUCAGCUAAGUCUUAUCUGCCGCAACCACCCGCGCGUUACAAUCAAUCUGCAACAGGUAAGCAGAAAAGUACAAUUUCAAGAUCAAAUUCGGCCUGGUACUGGCCAUUAAACCUUUCCAAAGCUCCUUUUUAAGGUGUAGAGAGAGCUUUAUUCGCUGCGAUCCAAAGCUUAUCACAUAUGCAACCAUUCUUCAGAGUUGAAAAUUUUACCUCUUUAUGUCAUUGUACUUAAAUUUUGCUGCGACCUGGUGUCAUUUAAACCUCCAAACUACUGUUUAGAUACGGUUGGUUUUGUACCCAUCGCGUGCUUUCCAUCCAAGAAAAGAUGAUUGAUCAUUAUGGUUACUUUUAUGUUGCUCUAGGACUGAAAAAAAUAGCAGGAAUUAUUCAUUUUAAGAUGAUAAGUAUUAUGGGUAGCAAUAAAAAUUUUCGUCAACGGAACUAGGCAUGAAUAUUUUAGAACGCAAAUGAAAAGCGCACAAAUCAAUCCGUUGCCAAACUAAUUUUGUAGAAGUAGAGCUUCGAGCAGCUAUUACUCCGUGGCUUUGAAUUCAAGAGUUCUCGCUUAUAAUCCCUUCCACCUUACCAUUCAAAUGCAGUAUACACGAAAGAAAAUACACUAAACUAAAUUUGAUGAUCCGAAAGCAUAAGAGGCAAGAGCCUGAAAAGCUUGUAAAGGUCAGUCACGCCUUAGAAAUGGGCCAUCUUUUGCUAGGUAGAAACUCACUCCAGCAUAGGCUAAUAAAUAAUAAACGGCAAGGACUAAAGAGUGAGAAGAGGAAGAGGAAGAGCAGAGGAGGGACACGAGCGGAGGGCAAAAGGAAGACAAGAGACAUUAGUCAUCCAACAACACACUUCAAUGAAUCCAAUAACUAGUCUACAAAUAACAGAUGCCUAUUCUCUAAUAACUAGUCUACAAAUAACAAGUAUUCAGAAGCAUCCAACCGUUGCUAAUAAGUGAUUACAAGCAUCAAUCAGGAUACAAAUUAACUUCAGUGGGACUAGCUCAUCUAACAACACAUGCAUGAUUCCUUGUAGCAUCGUCCCUUGACCAUGAAAGAAUGAUUACAAGCAUACAUGCCUUUGUGUACAAGCUACUGUCUGUAUUUACACAUACGCAUUGCCUCAAGUUUCUAUCUGUGUACUUAACGAAAGAGUAAACAGCUAAGCUAACAAAAUUGUGGCACAACCUAUACCAAGCAAUCAAGUAGGUGAUUCGGAUUCAGCCAGCAAAAGUGUGUGCCACCAGCCACAUGCCACAUUCUUCGGAACGCACCCGUCAAUUGCAACUUGAGAAGGAAUGUUGCGAUCAAUCACAUCACCUAAGCCAAGCUACACAGAGAAAAGAUUGACUUCUUCUAUUACACAAUUUUAAAAAAAAAAUAUUACCAUCAAAUUUUUAUGAGGUAGAGGUAUCUAUGCCAACAACAAGCCAAAAGGUAAUCCACCAUGAUAAUGCUCUAGACAGAGUGCAACAGAUAUGUGCAAGACCAAUAGGCUAAAGGUGUUUACUACAAAAUGGUUAUGUUCGAUCUCAACCAGAGAAAAAAAAAUGUCCAAAGUACCGAAAGAUGAUGCUUUCAAAACAUGGCUUGAAUUUUCUUCCAAAAAACUAAAUUGAGAUCUUCACUUAACGAAUAGUAGUGGUAGUUGACUUUUUCAGCAUUUAAUUGUUUUGCAUAUAUUGGAUAUUAGGUGGAUUUUUUUUAUUUACGUCACCGAUUGUUACCAAGACAUACUUUUUUCUUCUAAGGAAGAUCUUUGUAAUUUUUCAAAUCUCAAGAAAAAUAGUUGCAAUGUUAGAAACCUCAAAGGGAGAUUUUUGAGAUUAUCCCUAUUUAUAUGUUGGAAGAUAUUCCAACAUGAAUUUAUCUAAUUUAAGUAAACCCUUUUAUCUAAUGUUAAACAAAAAAACCAAGUGGUUGUAUGAGAAGCAUUGCAUUAUGAAUCACAGACCUCAUUAGCCAAGUAGUCGGCAAGUUAAUUUCAAUCUUUAGGAAAAACAUUGCCAAAAUUAAGUUCUCGUUCUUGGUCAGUAUUUUUUGUUUCGCUGAACAGUUUAAUAUAUAGUGAUGACGGAAUCUUGAAAGCGUCCUCGCAACGUCCGUAGAAGUUCAAACACUGAAAGGACAGUUUAAGUAAUGCAAAGAUUUCAGAAGCGCGAACUACUGAAAAUUGGGCAACUCAAUUUUCUCACGACACGAAACAGUUGGGCGAUGCGAAGUCAUCUCUCAAGAUAAGUCAUUUCACUUUUUCUUAUAGGUAAUUGAACAUCAAAAUAAUAAUUGACACCGAAAAUGAUUGCAUUAAAAAAUAAAAAAUGAUUCUGUUGGGUCGAUUCCUUGCUGACGAGCCGGAAAACGACGUCGAGUAUUAAGAACCAUUGUAAAGAGCAACAGGCUGAUUACUUGUCCUCGUUUGUUCAAUUAAUGACGUGCAAUGUGCUUUGUAUAUGUGUAGUUUAGUUCCCCUACAAGGUGCUAAUUAAUAAUCUCGGUAUGUUUUGUAAAAGGGGAAACAAUAUUCAGCUAAGUCGUUUGAAAGAAUUAUUAAUGUUUUAUUACUCUUACCUCUUUUUCCUUUAUAUUAUUACUACUUUUUUUUUUGUAUUUCAAAUUAACAAAGCCCAAAACUAGAAACUAUUCAAAAAUAACAUCCGGUAGUUUAGUAUUUUUUAUCCUUUUUUUUUUGUUAAUCGUCACUUUAUUUAUAUAAUUCUACUCUAUCAUAACGUAAGGGGAGGACUAACUAGACUUACGGGGAGUUGAUGGUUACUGAUGGAGGUAUUGGAGAAUGUUUUAGAGAUUCACUACACACCAUCUGAAUGUUUUAGAGAAUUCUUGACUUCUCACCCCAUCAAGCCUUAAAGGACUUGGUAGUUUACUUGGGAUGGUGGUUAGUUUAGUGUUGUUGAUCGUUGAACCAAAGUUUGGAGCUUUUAGGCUGAGCAAUACCAAUUUUUUUUGGCGUACAUAAUUAAUUGCAACGGAUCAAAUCUACAUAUUUAUUGAUUUAUUUAUUUUAGAUAUUUAACAUGAUUUGCAAUUAUUUCUUAGUGGGGGAGGAGGGAGGAUUGAAGAGAGGGCCGUGUUAGUGUCGUCAUCCCACCCCAUGUUUCGAAUCCUGACAUGGACAUUAAUUUGCUUUGGAUUCUCUGGAAAUGAUUAAAUCUAUGCAUGGCCCAGCCGUCCUCAUGCUAACCCUGAAUUCCCAGCUUUUCCUUCCCACAAGAACACUUCCAUUUUUGGGUUUUUUGAGAGCUAAAAUACAGCGUAGAAAACUUGAAGGAUCGAGAUUCCCAAUCACAGACGGACGGCUGAGUCCAAGGUUUCAUUUCAUUUAUUCAUGUUAAAAACACAGACUAACAAAAUGCAUGACGGCGUUGACAUUUCAUUUCACGUCUCCUUUGAAUGAAGAACAAGUCAAUUACCCUCCUCCAUAUUCCCAGAGCAAAGCGGGUUUUUUUUUUUUUUACUUUUUUUAUGCCCACCAGACGCAAUUUAUCAAGCCGCUGGUUGGUUUUGGUUUGCACCAAUUCAAUAUGUUCGGUUGCGGCGUCCACGAUAUCCAGACGCGUAGGAAACGGCGGCCACUGCUCAUGCAGAUUGCAGAUUGCAGAUUGCAGGUGCUCUUAACGUUUCUCUUGCUGGCAAAACUUUAGGCGGAUUAAGUACUUCUUCUAACCUUAGCUAGCAUCCUCACUAAUGAAUGUUUGUCUGUUAUGCUAUGGGUCGAUUCAGAACCAAAAAUUUUCUUCAAAAGACAAAAGAAAUGAAGAAGGGCUCUGUUCCUGAAUAAAUAAAGAAAUGACACCAAAAAAAUAAUAAGAAUUCAUGGAGAAAAUGAAUCACAUGGCAAGCACGUCAUCCGGGCCGAAAGUUCCUGGGAAAGAAACUUUAGAGUGGGAGAUACAUAUGAAGAAGAGGGAGAAAAAGAACAACAGCCAACCCCAAUCUUUGCAGUAAAGCAGUAUAUUAUGCAGUUUUGGCAGCUGCAUAUACUUCAUUGGACAUGCUAAUUGAGCUUCACUGAUAACGACUCCUGUCGACUAAUAUAUGCUCAUCUCCCAUUGUGUAAAACGUUCGGUAUUUUUUCUUUCCAAUUGUAUAUCCUUCUUUUAUUAGAUAACGUUGAAGUCAAUAAUAAUGUCUUGGGCUUUAAAGAAGUAAAGAAAAAUAUUACUAGAAAUUAGUUACAAGUUAAUUGUAAUUAUUCAAAGUUUCUAGUAAAGGCAAAUUGGCAUUUUAAAUGAUAAUGAUAGUUUAUAGUCUGACACCAUGAACAGGUAAAUUUUGAUUUUUCCCUUUUGGGCACGAUUCAAUUAAGCUAGAUAGAUUAUCUUUAUUUUUUUUUUAAAAUCCCUUUUGAUUUUCUCUUUUCUUUUUAGAGGAGCUUUUUUUUUUUUUUUUUUUUUUUUUUUAACCAAGGCCAUCGUCUAAUACAAGCUUAGGGAACACGUUAGUGGCCGAAGUGGUCUUCGUCUGGAAAAAAUUGUAAGUCAUCGCAUCUACCAAACUACUCAGCCGUUUUCCUCACGGAAAUAUGUACAAAAUACGAAGCUUCUCAGAAAUGGUCCACCCUUUGUAAUUACCAUUUUCCUGAGGAGAUUGUCUGUGAAUUUUGUUAUAUAGUGAGUGUUGUUGCGCUGUCACAGUCUUAAAUCAGUUUGAUGAAUGAAACUACUGUUUAAGGUUUGUAGUUUGUUGGUAGUCAAAAUAGAAGAAGUGCAUAGUUUAUAGAUUACGAAUUUUCGCACAAAAAUUAUGAAAUGUUUUUUCAAGACAUUAUUAUUUUUUUGAUUACGUUCUUUUCGUAUAUACAAUCAUAUCAUUACAGUAUUAUAUAUAAAUUCCAAAAGUUUACUAUCCAAACGAGUGCUCUUAGCCAUUCCUAUUGUGCUUUCAAAUGUCAUUGAUAAUCGGUGUGUUUGGAUUAUAUAUUAUUUUCACUUUAUUUACACAUACUGAUUUGUUUGCAUCAUCAACAUAUUUUUCAAUCAUUUUUUUUAUUGCACAUACAUCACAUCAGAAAAGUAUUACAGUAUGUUUUGUACAAAAUUAUCUCAAAUAAUCUACUAUCCAAACACACUCAAUUUUGAUUUUGUCUCUGUCUCAAAUGUUUAUACUCCACCGGAGGAUGGCGUACUGAUUGAAAAUUUUUGAGGCUUGCGAGGCCAACUCAUUAAGUGAAUUAAUAAUUAUCCACGAGAAACUGCUUAUGUCUACUUCUAAAUAUAUUUGUCCGUAAAAGCCCUUGGCAUUUCCUUCCAACAACAUUAUGUGCAAACCUGCCAUCAAAUUCAUUGGAUGCUUGAAGCUUCAGCCACAAGAACACAGGCUGUAUUCACUGCUCGGUCAGUCGCGUUUGCUUCUCCAGCAGCUCCCUUUUUUGGUUUCCUUCAAUGAUGAAGUAGUGCAGAUUCGGGACAUCACUUUGGAGGUUGGAGCUGGAGUAGCAGGCAAGUCAUAUGUCAAUCAAAACGGAGAUGCAGUUCAGUUUGGUUUGGUGGGGCUUUGGUCAAACUGCACCUUGUUCAAUCAUGGGCCUUAUUCUACACCAGAGAAUAUUCCAAAAACAAAAAAAAAAAGAGGUUGAGCUUAGGAGUCCUUCCAAUUGUUCAAAUGCUUUUUUUUUUUUUUUAGUCUUUGUUUAUCGACUAAUCAACUAGUUAGUGAUUGCUGCCUUUCACCUUCAUUCUAGAACGCUACUCUUUGGUAAUGAAAACAAACUUGUAAAUUGUAAAGCAGCUUUUCACCUUCUUGACUCAAUGAACUAACAUGCUUUCACAAUUCCCAUGUUCUCGAACUUUUUACGAUGCACAUUUUGUCAUCAUCAUCUCCUUAUAGUUAUUGUAUUUUUAAAUUAUAAACUUUUCAUUUUUAAUGCAAUAGUAUUUACUAUUUCAGUCCAUUCUUCGUGCUGAAUUAAAGUUUUAUAAAUGAAAAAAAAGUACGUACGACUAAAUGAAGGAAAGACAAACAGAGAUAAAAUUCGUCGGCCCAUGACGAUUGAUACUGCAUUGAAUCAAAUCCAACGACAUCCAAAACUGAUGCAAACCAAAUUUCCCCAGCCACUUUGAUCAGUUGAGUGGCAGUUGUCCUGGGCCAAUUGUGUGUUCUCCAAUGGCGGCCUUUCACAGGCCGGCCCAGGCUCUCCAACAAUAAGCCCACCCGUUUAACAAGUUGGGCUUUUCGACCGUCUGGUCCUCGAGUCCCCGCAUCCUGCAGAAGGCAGGUCAACAACGCUUAGAGGAAACAAGCUCCCAAUUCCUAUAGGUAUCUUUACCACAACCAAAUUGCCUUCUUUAGAAUGGGAGUACUCUCGAACGGAAAAGUGAAAAAAAACCAUUAACCAAGCAACAAAAAUGGUUUUACAGGGAGCGACGGAUACAUGUAUAACGGGAAGAAACUUAACAACCACGACCAAUAACACUAUGAAACAGACAAACAAACAAAAUUUUCACUCUGCUAUUCUGCCACUACGAUAAAACGCACAUCAUUUUAUCAAAUUUAGCAGCUACUCCUCCUCCUACUCUUCUGGGAUAGACUUUGAUUUUGCAAUGCUGAUAAUAUAUUCAAUCUCCUCAGCCACCUCUUUCAUGGAAGGCCUGUCUUGUCUGCGUUGCUCCAAGCACCCCGUAGCAAGAAACCCCAGUGCCUUCAUGGUAUCAAGCUCCAAAGUGCUUGCCCCCUGCUUCAAUAUUGGAUCAACUGCAUCCAUUAUUUUAUCCUCCUCCACCAACCUCUGCACAUAGACUGCCAGGUUUACAUCAUCUUCCGGUCUAUUAAAAUCUAUUGCUUUCUGAGAUGUCAAGAGCUCCAACAGCACGACGCCGAAGCUGUAGACAUCACUCUUAUCCGUCAACUGAUAGUUCCUGUAGUACUCAGGGUCGAGAUAUCCAAGAGUUCCCUGUGCACACGUUGAUAUGUGGCUUAGAUCUGUGUGAGCUAGACGAGAUAGCCCAAAAUCUGAAACCUUUGCAUUUAGCUUAUCGUCGAGCAAAAUGUUACUAGACUUCACGUCACGGUGAUAAAUUGGAGGAACUGCAGAGAAAUGGAGGUAAGCAAGCCCCUCAGCAGUCGCAUGAGCAAUGGUGAGACGAGCAGUCCACGCUAAAGGUUUCCUGUUCAAACCUUGUAAAUGAUCGAGAAGGGUUCCAUUUGGGACAUAUUCAUAAACCAUCAACGGUUGCUCGAGCUCAACACAGCAUUAAGAACUUGUGAUUUACCUACAAGGCUCUUGUGAUUUACCUGACAAAGUAUUCUGACCUCAUUAAGAACUUGGUCAGUCCCUUUAGUGUUCCCUAGCUUGGCACAUUUGAUAGCAACAACCGUUCCAUCUGCAAGGAUGCCUCUGUACACCUCACCGUAGCCUCCUACACCAAGAAGACGGUCCCUUGAGAAGUUGUUUGUUGCCUUCUUUAUUUCUUUCCCACUAAAUAUUUUUGCAUAUUUCCCACCGCCAGAAUUGAGAAUCUCUUCACGCUCCCGAGCAAGCCGAUCCUUUGCCUCCUUGACGCGCUGAUGUCGUUUGUAAAGUAAAAAUCCAAUUACUGCCAAUAUUAGUCCUGCACCCAGACCCGUAGAGAGACCUGUAUUGUUCCUAACAUACAUUAGUGUCAUUGAACAAUAAUCCCCACGUCAUGUUUUUGUUAUGUUGAAAAUUUCAAACAACGAAUGCAGGUGGACUCCAAGUGCUACCUGGGAAUUCUUUCCGUCCUAAAUAAAACCUCUUGUAGCAAAGAUACAAUAAUCUUCUACUAGCAACAUGCAUCUCGAAGCUAAAUAAUAUGGCUAUGAAGAUAAGAUUUUAAACUGAGCGAGUUCUAACCCACUGAAAGGCAAAUGCACAAUUAAGUCUAGACCACCUUUUGAAACAUCAAACAAUCACAAACUUAAGAUGAAGAAAUCAUGUAGUUGGAUUUCAUGGAGAAUAUUAAUUGUUCAUAUCAUUUGAAUCUGGUUGAAUAAGGUAACAGGAUGUCAUACUUGAUUAAUUAGGUAUAAAUGGUAUUGCUUUCAAGUAACAAAAAUUAACUUGUGCUUUACAACCCUGUAAGGGAUGUUCAGCAAGAGAGGAGUCCUGCUUGUUAGUUCUUGUUAGAACAGAACAUGUUCAAAUUUUUACAAGCCAAAAAACAACGAUACGGCGUCAGUCAGCACAAAAGAAAUUAGUGAUAACUUCUCUUGCAUAAAUCAUAAAGCUAAGGAAUCAGAAUGUAAUAUCACCAGUACUGACCAACCACAGCCCUUUUGUUACUAGUACAUUUUUCUCCUCUACUGCUGCAAAUCGCCAAGUUUAGAAGCUAAGCUAAAACUAGUGCAAAGGGCAUAUUGACUCCCCAGUCCGCGGUCAUUUUCAUUGACCAGCAAACAGGAUGAUGGAAAGAAGGUCAACAGUUGAAUAAUAGAUUAAGAAGCAACCUUGAAUUUGUAGGCCUUCAUCUUCCAGAAGCCAACUCACAAUUUGACAAUUAUUCUCGGAUGGUUAUGCAUUUCUAGAAUGUUUUCAUAAUCAACCUAUUAUUCAUGUCAAGUUGAAAAACAAACAUGUUCCUCGGAAUUUGCUGUGAUAUAAUUUUAGAUUAUUCUGUUUUGUACUAGUAAGAGCUUUGAGAAUCUUACGUAGUAGGCCCUGUGUUUCUCUUCAAAAAAAAAAUUUUUUUUUUUUGGGGGGGUGCAGGUGAGCGUAUUUGGUAAAAAAUAAAAACGCAUUCUUUCAGCUCAAUUAGAGCUAAUAGUUUAAGCAGAAACAACUAUCAAGAAGUUGAGUCUACUACGAAAUGUCAAGUGUUUUUUUGAAAAAAAAAAAAGAAGAAGAAGAAAGAAAAACACAAAUCAUGGAGUCAAAGUCAACUACAAAAAAUGCAAUUCUAACAGAUGAGCAACGAUGUUUGAAAAUCUUGCAAGCGUAGAACAUGAUGCAGGGGUCCACACAUUACACGUACCA
RNAcentral lists this long non-coding RNA (13043 nucleotides) under Coffea arabica (coffee). RNAcentral's name for it is "long non-coding RNA (CARA_LNC000906)". The record is from RNAcentral. Lineage: Eukaryota; Viridiplantae; Streptophyta; Magnoliopsida; Gentianales; Rubiaceae.